GGAGAAACUGCCCGUGAUAAGCGGGAGGAAGGUGUGGAUGACGUCAAGUCCUCAUGGCCCUUACGGCCUGGGCUACACACGUGCUACAAUGGCGGUGACAGAGGGAAGCCAACCCGCGAGGGUGCGCCAAUCUCGAAAAGCCGUCUCAGUUCGGAUUGCACUCUGCAACUCGAGUGCAUGAAGUUGGAAUCGCUAGUAAUCGC
RNAcentral lists this ribosomal RNA (203 nucleotides) under Chrysotila carterae. RNAcentral's name for it is "partial Bacterial small subunit ribosomal RNA". It matches the Rfam family "Bacterial small subunit ribosomal RNA", at positions 1142 to 1345 of the family's 1533-position model. Lineage: Eukaryota; Haptophyta; Isochrysidales; Isochrysidaceae. The record is from RNAcentral.